Oryzias melastigma (Indian medaka) is the source of this 772-nucleotide non-coding RNA. Lineage: Eukaryota; Metazoa; Chordata; Actinopteri; Beloniformes; Adrianichthyidae. The record is from the annotation of a RefSeq genome assembly.
UAAAACAUGUUUCUGAAUCAAAGUAAAGUCCAAUAUUUCAGAAUCCCAUCUGGAAUCUCUGCUGGAUCCAUGUGUGAGAAUCCUGAUGACAGAGAUCCAUGUUCCUGUUGGAGUCAGUGGUUGCAUUUCCAUAGAAACACUUUGCAUCAGCAGCUCCAUGCUCCAGUGCUCUGGGAGACUUUAUAGUCCUGAGAGUUGAAGACUGGAUGACUGACAGCUGUCCUUCAUCACAGCAGAAGACACAGAAAUCCUCCUCCUCCUCCUCAUCACUAAAAGCAUGACUUUGAUCUGCGUCCUCAUCUGGACUCUCCUCUGCUUCAUUCAGGGUUCUGUUGGACAAAAUGUUGUUGUGACUCAGCCAGCAGCUAAAUCAGUGCAGCUCGGUCAGACCGUCUCUAUUGACUGUAAGGCCAGUCAGACAGUAGAUUGGUAUUAUGGUUCACAAUACUUUCUUGCCUGGUACCAUCAGAAAUCUGGAGAAACUCCUAAAGCUCUGAUCUAUUUAACAUCAAACAGCUUUUCAGGAAUCUCCUCCAGAUUCAGUGGAACAGGAAAUGGAAUUGACUUCACUCUGACCAUCAGUGGAGUCCAGGCUGAAGAUUCAGGAGUUUAUUACUGUCAGAGUUAUCACGAGAUCAACAGUCAGUAUGUGUUCACACAGUGAAAAGUCGUCGUACAAAAACCUCCUCCAUCAGAAUGAACUGAAACUCAUUUGAAUGUUUCUGCCUCAAGUUCUUCCAGAAACUGAAACUCUGAUUUACUGUAGAAACAC